Molecule: long non-coding RNA, 10318 nt
Filed under: Capsicum annuum
Lineage: Eukaryota; Viridiplantae; Streptophyta; Magnoliopsida; Solanales; Solanaceae
Description: long non-coding RNA (CANN_LNC002847)
Source: RNAcentral
GAAUUCACUGGAAAAGCAAUACAUACACAGACAAGGAAAUCUUCCAAAUUGGGUCCAUUCUGCCACUUUCAAAAACAAACAAAAAGGAUAUGACUAUCUUCCUCACCCUUCACAUACCCAUUUUUUUUUUUUUACCAUAAUUCCACAUACUCCCACAUGGGACCUUCACUAAAAAAUACAAGCAUCGAGAUCUCACUGGAAAACACCCAUCGUCACUCUCACACUCACCGCUGCACACACACAUUCACAUAGCAAUGUUUAUUCAUCCACCCACUAUGGAUUAGAGAGAAUCAAGAGAGGGAGAGCGAUUCUCAAGUCUUUCCGACGAUAUUCCCGCCGGAAUCAACAUCGGCUGUUCGAGUUAAACCGCCCCAUACCGAAAUCCCAACAUAUCUUACCAUUUUUUUUAUUUUUAGUGCUGGGUUGAAUCAAUUUUGCGACAGUUUCGGCACCGGUUUGGUUGUUCAGUUGCGAUUGUCUAUUUUUUUGGCUCAUCGGUCUUCGUACGGCUUCGGGAAUUGGUUUUCUGUUUGUCUCGAUUGGUUCAUCGUGGUCAGUUUUGGGUUUUAAUUUUGGUGAUACUGAGUUGGAGUUGGUUCGUUGAUUGAGGUUUUACUCGGGAUAUUCGAACGCGGUCUUCAUCUUUUCACUUAAUUAAUAUUUGAGUUUGAAAGAUAUGAAUUGAGGUCCAAUUCUAUCCCCUCUCUUUUAUUUCAUUGUUUACUAUGCUUGGUGUAUUGGAUUGAAUAUCGUGUGUUGGUUUGAUCCUCAUUGGUGAUGAACGCGAGUUUGUGUUGAUCCAUGGUUAGUUUUCUUGAUAAUGAUCUUAUGAUGAAAUGAUAUCUUGUUUGAGAAUUAAAAUUGAUUGUUUGCGGGAUGGGAAUUGAAAAAUUGAUAAAAAGGGUGAAUUUAGAUUUUCUUUUGGUUUAUUGUUGUCUCGUUUAAAUAAGCUUGAAUGUCGUUGGAACGCGAUAGAGUUAUGACAUAUUGAAAUGGGUAGGCAAACGUAGGUUGGGUAGGUCAAGUUUAGAAUUUACGAUUUUGUUGAAUGCUUGAAAUUUUGUUGAAUGGUUUGGUUUUCUCGCAUUGAAAAUUUGUAUUCAUUUCGCCGGGGAAUGCCUCGAGGUCUUUUGUACUUCUUUACCAGGGAAUGCCCCGACGUAUCAUGUACACAAAGGAGGUUCGUGAUGAAGGCUCGAGGCAUAGAGUAAGGCAUUGGAGCAUAGUUUAGGAUUAGUCUAGAAUAGGAUUUACAUUUUCGCAUUUUUUAUUUUUGGACUGUAUAAUUAGACUGAACAUUAUUAUUUUGUUUCUUUUUGGAUUGUUUUGUUUAACUGGUUGUUUUGAUGUGUUUUUGUGUGUAUUAUACACUCGUAAUAUCAAAUUAGCUGAUAUGCUCCACCAAGCAACCGUGGUCGAACCACGGGAUCGAGGGGUGCCUAACACCUUUCCCUCGGUCAACAGAAUUCCUUAGCCGGAAUCUCUGUUCCAAACCAAUUUUUAAAGAGUCAAAUAAUUUCAAAAAGGAUUUUUCAAAGGUGACUUGGCACACCGGAUUAUGUCAAGUGGCGACUCUGAGUUUAAAUGUAAAAGGUCUUUUUUGAAACAAUUUUCAUCCUUUUGUCACUUUAAUAAUAAAAAUCCUUUCGAACUUAAAAUCAAUUCUUUUCGAGUUAAAAAAGAGGUGUGACAGCUCUGGCGACUCUGCUGGGGAAGACAUUUCAGAAUUUGAGCUUAUUUUUUGAGUUGUAUCGGCUUAGUUUGAUAUUAUGGGUGUAUAGACAUUUGUGUUGUUUUGUGUUAUUUUUUUUUCAUUGUUGAGUGCCUACCUGCUCUUUGUUUACAGUUUUUAUCUUAUGUGUUACCGCUUUAUAUUUGGCAUCAUGUGCAUAACCCGAGUCAUUCUUUCUGCAACAAGUUCGUAGUACACGCUGUGUACAUGACCUAUAGUUGAGUCACCCUUAUUUUUAGGAGGGGGAGCCGUCGGCUGGUAUGGAGUAUUUGGAAAGCUAGCUCAGCCACUAUCGACCAUACGCUCCCCCGAACAGCCUUGUUAGUGAACCCUAGCGUAGGUCAGCCUUUAGGUCAUGCUUAUUUGCAUCAUAUUGAGAUCUAGCGAGACCCACAUGGCCCUUUGUAGAAGAGUCACCUCUAAAGCAUCCCUACGUGCUAAAUGUUCAUCUUUGUGGGUAACGAGGUCAUUUGACAGAUUGAUUUGGGCAAAAGCAUGAGUUAGAAGCAAAGUGUGUAGGCAAGAAAUUGUUGAAAAGUGUGUAGGCAAAAAAUUGUUGAAAAAAAAAAGAAAAAAAAAGUGGAAAAAAAAGAGAUUUGGUAGUUUUUAGGGUUCUUUAUGGCUUUUGUUUUUCACAAUUCAAUUUUUUUUUUACUUUUUACACUCAUUUCCCAAAAAAUCAAAAAUGUUAAAAAGAUUUUCCUUUUAUUUCUUUAGUAAAUAUUCGCAAUUAGAAAACUCCAAAAAUAUUUUUUCCUUUCAAUAGGAGCUUUGUACAUUUUUAUGUAACGAAAAUAUCAAAAAGAUUUUUUUUCUUUCAUAGUUGUUGGUGUUAGUUUCUAAUUAAAAACCCAAAAAAGAUUUUAUUUUCAUCGUCUGUCUUUAGUCGUGUCUCUUAAUUCAGGGUUUAGUUUGUUAUUUAAUCCUUAAUUGUCCAAUCUGGAUGAACUACGCACCCCUGAUUCUUCUCUCUCGGGGGUGAGAUAAGUAGGCAACCUUUUCGGGUUCGGGGAUCUUAUUUGAAAAUUCAAAAAAGAUUUUCUUCACUCUUCAUUUAGAGUAGGUGUUCCAUAUACAUCUUUAAAAGAAACUACAAAAAAGAUUUUCCUUUAAUAGUUUCAAGUUUCAUUUUCGUAUAAAUUUCAAAUCGAAAAUCCUAAAAGAUUUUUCUUCGGUAAUCAUAGGUUUCAUUUUGUAUAAGAAUUUGAAAAAUUCAAAAAGAUUUUCUUCACUCUUCAUUUAGAGUAGGUGUCAUAUACAUCUUAAAAGAAAAUCACAAAAAAGAAUUUUACUUUAAUAGGUUCGAGUUUCAUUUUUGCAUGAAAUUCAAAACUGAAAACCCCAAAAUGAUUUUCCUUGGUAAUAAUAGAUUUCACUUUGUAUAGGGGUGUUUAAACUUGAAAAAUAUAAAAUGAUUUUUGUCAAUUCUUCUGACAAAUUGUUAUGUUCUUUUUUUUUUAAAGUUUCAAGAAUAAAAAAGAGUUUAAUUGGCCAUUCUGGUAAGACUUUAUAAACUACGGACACCUGAUACUUCUCUCUCGGGAGUGAGAUAUGUAGGUGCCCCUCUUGGGUUCGGUGAUCUUGUGAAAAAAAAAGAAAAAAAAGAGGUUUUGAAAAAGUGUUGAACUCUAACACAUUUGUUAUCUCUUGUUCAGUUAGUUUAAGGUGGUUGGUUUGUGACAUCUUGGCUAGUCCUCCUUAUCACGCCAAAUCUAAGGAAGGGUUAAUUGUAUCCAACAAGGAUAAAAAGAGUGACCUUAUGGAUCAAACAAAAAUUAUAAAAUUGAGAGUUUAAGGGAAGAGAAUUUGAGAAUAAGACACCAAAUGAUGAAAAUGUAUCGAGUUUGGACCAGUGAGUUGCCUCCACCUUCGUUCUCCACUUUUGACCCUGCAAAUACCUUGUGUCUUUCACCAAAAUCGUAAAGUCAGUUUCCUACUAUUGUUGAUGCACCACAGCAUGCCUUAGAAUCCAUUCCACGUCAAAUGCACCUCAAUACUUUUACCACUCUUUAUUUAACUCGUCAGUAUAAACAUACCACAUUCAUAGCACCACAUACUGUCGGUGUUUUUAUUGCUCAAUCUUUUACUGAGGCUUCCACUUUGACUAUCAAUCCAACGAUUAUGCUUCCCCAGUUUAUUACUGAAUUCACGUUCAAUACUGUUGAUGAUCAUUGCUAAAAUAUUGAGCCGACAAUUAAGUUAAGUGGACCGCUAAAAUUUUUUACUAAGAAGCCAAGAAUGCUAGAGAAAAUAGUUGGGAAAGUGAAGAGUGUAGAAAAUGAUAUGAAAAGUUCCUCGAGGCUUGUGGGAUAUGAAUGUUUCAUAUAAAAAUUGGGGCAUGUCAUCAGGUGGUAACCUUCCUCCAAGCUUUGAGACUUCAAAAUUUGGGGAGCCUGAUGGACAAAAGGAUUUUGUGAAACAUUUGGGACGACAUUGCCAUCAAUCAAGGAAAACUAAAGGAAACAAAAAGGAAAAAUGCACAUAUUGUCAUGCUAGAGCCAAAGCAGAGUUUGAGAGGCCGAACCCACCAAUACCGUCAGCCUCAAUCCCGAGAUUACAAGUUAGAUCCACAUAACCACUUGCAACAAGGUUCCUUUCUCCAAAAUCUAAGAAAUCCCAUUCCACGUCCUCAAUAUCCUUUGAACAAUGCAAAGAUUAUGCUCAUCCGUUUUCUUAUCGAUAAUGUCAUUCACCUAUCCCUCAAAAUCAUCCUAAACCCUCACAAAUUUACCAAGGAACCUCUAAAUCAAAGUUUCAUUCAAGGCCAGAGUUUGCAAAGAGAAGGAAGGAAAAAGAUAAUUUCACUCUUAUUGGGGAAUUCUAUGUCAGUUUGUUCUAGAGCUUGAGACAGAGGGGCAUGAUCACUCCUCCCUUGGAUAUACUCUUGACCCGUAUUUAAGUAGUUUUGAUCCUAAUGUAUGAUGUGCAUAUCAUUCUAAUGCUCAGGGUCAUAGUAUUGAAGAUUGUUGAGAUUUGAAAAGAGAAAUUGGAAAGAUAAUUCAAGAUGGAGCAAUUAUGGAGCAAAACAUUAACAGUAAGGAAAGCUCUAGUCAUGAUUAUAUGCAAAUCAAUGGCUAAGAUGUCAGGCUGAGCAAUGGAAAAGUCACCCCUCUCCCUACUAGGAAGAGGUCUGGUAGUUUGUUUUCUUUUCUUUUCUAUUUUCUAAAUUAUUUUAGGGUUGUAGUUUAGGAUCUAUCUUGUUUUGGUUCUCUGUCGUCUUUGUUUAAACCCUUCAGUCUUUUCUUUUAAUGAAAUGUGGUGUCCCUUGUUUGUUUUGUUUUAUUUUAAGUUAUUUAUUUUUUUCUUUGCACAAUGCAUCUUAUGUUGAUUCUAGUUCUAUGACAUGCCUGCGGAAUUUUCAGUCAGAUCUUGAAAUCCAACUUAAUCAUGAAGCAUUGAUUUAGAGAGUUAAAAUUAGGAAAAGAGAGUAUCUGAGAAAAUAGGUAGAGUGCUGAGACAUUUGGUGACAAGUUGAAGUCUUUUUUGAAAAUUAAGGCAAUUAUUUUAAGAAUCACAAGAAUAACUUGCUCAUAAAUUGAAAAACAUGUCUCAAUUAGGUCAAAUAGUGGAUGUGUGGUCCUACAAUAAAUGGAAUAGAAAAUAAGCUCCACGAAAGCAUGAGUCAUUCGAUAUGAGGGAUGUGCAACAAAGGUGGAGUUGUAUGUUGGACAAGUGCUGAAGAAGAAGUGGCACACAUGCUAAGUUAAAGUUAGUGAUGUAAAAUAAUGUCACAAAUGAUCAUCAUCUAUCACUUUCAUAUUGUAUGAUAUGUACUUGCAUUUUCAAGGGUUGAUAUGACGAAGGCAUUUCAUUCUGCUAUCCAAACAUUGUGUCAUCUUUGUUUACCCCAUUUGGGUCGUAGUUUUAUUUUUCUUUCAUACACCUCUUUUGGAAUCAAGAUAGAGUCAGCAAAGCUCAAAAGAAAAUUGUCGAGCAAAAAGAAUAGAGUCAGAAAAGUUUCAAAAAAAAAAAAAGAAAGAGAAAAUUAUGUAAAAAAAAAGGAGAGUAUCAAGAAAAAUAAAGUCAGAAAAGUCCUGAAGAGAAAAAGAGUCAACAAAAGAAAAAAAAGAGAAGAGAAGAAGUCAGAAUCAAGCAAAACAAGCUGCCACAACUACACGUGACCUGAUUCUCCUCUUUCAGGGGUGAGAUACGUAGGCUGCCCUACUCCGGGCUCGGUCCAACCAAAUAAACAAUUUAGAAUUGCCCAGUCAAAAGAAACUGGGGCAUGAGUUAAUCCUCAUUCUUUGAGUCUAUUCCUAAAGUUGUAAGUCCUAACCUAAUUCAAGUGUCGUUUAGGCCUCAUGUCGUCCUUUCUUUCUAACCUUAUCCAAAAGCCAAGUUACAACCAAAGAAAGACCUUCAGAUCAAUCUUUGAGGAUGUUAAGGCUAAGCAUGCAAGGGAUAUGAUGAUACAUUUGGGAACUACUUGUUUUCCUCAGCAUAAGAAAUCAGGAGAGAAAUAAAAAUGAGAGUCUUAUUGGUGAAAACCCUCACGGGCACUGUAAGACGAUGGUAAGUUGAGAGAGAUAAAAAUAAGAGAGUCUUAUCGGUGAAAACUCUCACGGGCACCGUAAGACGACUGUGAGAUAAGGGAAACGAAGAUAAGAGAGUCUCAUUAAUGGAAAACCCUUACAGACACCAUAAGGCAAUGGUGAGCUGGGGAAAAGAAAAUGAGAGAAGCGUGUUGGCAAAAACCCUUCAAGGCGCCACUAGCCAAAUGGGGUCUUAAAUGCAAUUGAAGCAACUCAGUUCCAAGGCCAUUAACUCAACAAUAAUGGGUAAAAAGUUUGGAUGAAAAGAUCAAGCUUCUUAAUCCAAAAUGCAUGGUAUAAUCAUUAGUGUAGACUGUCAUUUUUAGAUGAAUUUUUCGUUUCUUUAUUUCAAAUGGGGACAUUCAUUGUCUUUUCUUUCUUUUUUUUUUAAUUUUUAUUUUAUCUUUCUUGAGUCAGUUAUCCAGAAAAAAAUUAUCAUUCUUUUUUCGUUUCUUGUUUUUGAGUCAAGUCCAUGUCAAAACAAGUGAGAAAAGAUUUCAAAACUGGCUACUAGCUUCUUUAAUUGCACAAAGCAAGAUAAAAUCUAGCACAUGAAAGAGACAUGAUUGUGGGCCAAAAAAGGGCAUGCAGAAAGUUUUGUCAACAGAUAAGUCUGGGAACCCACAGAAAUACCAUAGUUCAAAGGGUUUAACUGAGAAACAUGGCAAAGCAGAGAUACUGUAUUUAUGGUAGAGUCACUCUUCCUAAUAUGAGUUUGGAUCACUGAUGCAACAAGUCAAUGACAUAUGUUAGUGGUUGGAAGCAAGGUUAAAUGUGACUAGGGCAAGAGCGAUUUUCGCGAAAUUUAAAGACGCUAGCCCGCCACCAUGUUUUUUUUAACUCACAAGUUUUCUUUUAUGAAACAUGAAACAUAUUACCUUCAAAUCAAGGACUUCAGAACAUAAAUAUUAAGGGCUGCAAUGCCUCACCCCUACAAAUGCAGGAAAUAAUGUUGUUUCACAGGUUUAAUAAUUAAGUCAUGGUAAAAAAUCAUCAUCCUAUAUCCCUUGGAGACACACUUUCUUGUCCAGGCAUUUCAGUUUUCAUUGGCUAGGUGAUACACUUCUUAAAUUGAACCUUCACUCCUAGAAGAUGUACCUUUUAGUUGAGUCAGUCCCCUUGACCCCUAGAAGACGUACCUUUUAGUCGAGUCAUUUUCUUUGAUUCCUAUAAGACGUACCUUUUAGUCGAGUCAUUCCCUUUGGUUCCCAUAAGAUGUACCUUUUAGUCGAGUCAUCCCCUUUGAUUCCUAUAAGACGUACCUUUUAGUCGAGUUAUUCCCUUUGAUUCCUAUAAGACAUACCUUUAGUCGAGUUAUUCCCCUUGACCCCUAGAAGCCGUACCUUUUAGUCAAGUCAUUUCCUUUGAUUCCUAUACGACGUACCUUUUAGUCGACUCAUCCCCUUUGAUUCCUGUAAGACGUACCUUUUAGUCGAGUCAAUCCCCUUGACCCCUAGAAGAUGUACCUUUUAGUCGAGUCAUUCCCUUUGAUUCCUAUAAUUCAUACCUUUUAGUCGAGUCAUUCCCUUUGAUUCCUAUAAGACGUACCUUUUAGUCGAGCCAUCCCUUUUGAUUCCUAUAAGAUGUAUCGUUUAGUCGAUUCAUUCCCUUUGAUUCCUCUAAGGCAUACCUUUUAGUCGAGUUAUUCCCCUUGACCCCUAGAAGCCAUACCUUUUAGUCGAGUCAUUCCCUUUGAUUCCUAGAAGUCGUACCUUUUAAUCGAGUCAUUCCCUUUAAUUCAUAUAAUGAUGUGACUUUCCUAAAAGUCCUUUGAUGAGAAACUGGGGCAAAUUUAAAUCUUAUGUUUGGAACUUCUCUUUCCUGGCAAAUGAAAUCUCUUUAUGAUAAUCUUUGUUUGGGAUAAUUUUCUUUUUAGUUUUGAUGUGAUUUCAGGAGCCCGCCUGAAGAACAGGGCGAAUAAAUGAAAAGUCAAGCAAUAUGGUGAAAAAGUUGAAAGUCAAGCCACAAGGUGAAAAAGUUGAGAGUCAAGCAACAAGGUGAAGGAAUUAAAAGUCAACAAAUAAAAAAAUAGCAAGUCAGGAACCCGCCGGAAAAAUAGGGUGAACAAAUUGUAAACCAAGCAACAAGUGAUGAAAUUUCAAGUCGGGAGUUCGGCCGAAAAAUAGAGUGAUGAAAUUACAAGUCAGAAGUCUGCCUGAAAAAAAGGAUGAAGAAAUUGCAAGUCAUGAGUUCGCCUGAAGAAUAGGGUGAUAAAGUAGCAAGUCAACAAUCAAGGAAAUACGCAUAGAUAGAGUUUUUGUAAUUUCAUUGAUGUUUUUAACUUGUAAUUUUCAUUUUUGAUGUAAUGACAGAGCUGCGGACCGGAACCUCGAUGGAACCUUACUCGACUCUCCAACUCGGUAUUGUCCUUCUCUUUGAAAUCCUUUGAAAUACACAUGACUUGAUUCCCUCGUAACUUGGGUAGGUAGGAUGUCCUAAGUCAAGACCCGAUUGCUUUUUUUCCUUUUGUUUCUCUGAAUAAUGGUCGGGAUAAAAUUGUCUCGUUGUCUACUUCUUUUUCUGAAAACACUUCGUGUUUAUAGUCAAAGGGGGCAUGAUGUAGACACCUAAUUUUGUCCCUCUCCGAUAUCACUUUUAUUCAUUUUUACCUUAUCCUAUCGUGUACCCUUAACCAUGUAAUUAUCCCUUCAUAAAAUGACAAAAAAUAACAAACUCAUAACAAAUUUUAUCUUGUUUUAAUUCUAUCCUAACAAACUUUAUUCUAACAACCUAGCCGUACCCCACAUCCCAUACCCCCUCACCCCUACACCCUACGUCACCACCCCUCACAUUCCUUUUGAUUUUCUUUGAACCAAAUCACAAAAGAAAAAGAGGCAAAAUAGGGGGCCCUCACGGGAAUUCACUGGAAAAUCAAUACAUACAUACACAAGGAAAUCUUCCAAAUUGGGUCCAUUCUGCCACUUUAAAAAACAAACAAAAAGGAGAUGACCAUCUUCCUCACCCUUCACAUACCCAUUUUUUUUACCAUAAUUCCACGUACUCCCACACGGGACCUUCACUAAAAAAUACAAGCAUCGAGAUCUCAUCGGAAAACACCCAUCAUCACUCUCACACUCACCGCUGCACACACACAUUCACAUAGCAAUGUUUAUUCAUCCACCCACCAUGGAUUAGAGAGAAUCAAGAGAGGGAGAGCGAUUCUCAAGUCUUUCCAGCGAUAUUCUCGCCGAAAUCAGCGUCGGCUGUUCGAGUUAAACCGCCCCAUACCGAAAUCCCAACAUAUCUCGCUGUUUCUUUUUUAUUUUCAGUGCUGGGUUGAAUCAAUUUUGCGACAGUUUCAGCACCGGUUUGGUUGUUCAGUUGUGAUUGUCUAUUUUUUUGGCUCAUCGGUCUUCGUACGACUUCGGGGAUUGGUUUUCUAUUUAUCUCGAUUGGUUCAUUGUGGUCAGUUUUGGGUUUCAAUUUUGGUGAUACUGAGUUGGAGUUGGUUUGUUGAUUGAUGUUCUACUCGGAAUAUUCGAACGCGGUCUUUGUCUUUUCACUCUAUUAAUAUUUGAGUUUGAAAGCUACGAAUCGAGUUCCAAUUCUAUCCCCUCUCUUUUUAUUUCAUUGUUUACUAUGCUUGGUGUGUUGGAUUGAAUAUCGUGUGUUGGUUUGAUCUUCAUUGGUGAUGAACGCGAGUUUGUAUUGAUCCGUGGUUGGUUUUUUUGAUCAUGAUCUUAUGAUGAAAUGAUAUCUUGUUUGAGAAUUAAAAUUGAUUGUUUGCGGGAUGGGAAUUGAAAAAUUGAUAAAAAGGGUGAAUUUAAAUUUUCUUUUGGUUUAUUGUUGUCUCGUUUAAAUAAGCUUGAAUGUCAUUGGAACGUGAUAGAGUUAUGACAUAUUAAAAUGGGUAGGCAAACGUAGGUUGGGUAGGCCAAGUUUAGAAUUUGCGGUUUUGUUGAAUGCUUGAAAUUUUGUUGAAUGGUUUGGUUUUCUUGCAUUGAAAAUUUGUAUUCAUUUCGCCGGGGAAUGCCUUGAGGUCUUUUGUACUUCUUUACCGGGGAAUGCCCUGACGUAUCAUGUACACAAAGGAGGUUCGUGAUGAAGGCCCGAG